UAAAACCCCAAACAGCAAGCAAUGCAGGUGUAGAAGCACGGUGGCUAGGAAAAACUCCCUAGAAAGGCCAAAACCUAGGAAGAAACCUAGAGAGGAACCAGGCUAUGUGGGGUGGCCAGUCCUCUUCUGGCUGUGCCGGGUGGAGAUUAUAACAGAACAUGGCCAAGAUGUUCAAAUGUUCAUAAAUGACCAGCAUGGUCGAAUAAUAAUAAGGCAGAACAGUUGAAACUGGAGCAGCAGCACAGUCAGGUGGAAGUUGAAACUGGAGCAGCAGCAUGGCCAGGUGGACUGGGGACAGCAAGGAGUCAUCAUGUCAGGUAGUCCUGGAGCUCAGGUCCUAGGGCUCAGGUCCUCCGAGAGAGAGAAAGAAAGAGAGAAGGAGAGAAUUAGAGAACGCACACUUAGAUUCACACAGGACACCGAAUAGGACAGGAGAAGUACUCCAGAUAUAACAAACUGACCCCAGCCCCCGACACAUAAACUACUGCAGCAUAAAUACUGGAGGCUGAGACAGG
Oncorhynchus tshawytscha (Chinook salmon) is the source of this 515-nucleotide long non-coding RNA. The record is from Ensembl. NCBI's taxonomy places the organism in Eukaryota, Metazoa, Chordata, Actinopteri, Salmoniformes, Salmonidae.